Molecule: ribosomal RNA, 255 nt
Filed under: uncultured bacterium
Lineage: Bacteria
Description: partial 16S ribosomal RNA
Rfam family: Bacterial small subunit ribosomal RNA
Source: RNAcentral
UACGUAGGGGGCAAGCGUUGUCCGGAAUCAUUGGGCGUAAAGCGCGUGUAGGCGGCUGAGUAAGUCUGCUCUGAAAGCCCGGGGCUCAACCCCCGGGAGGCGGGUGGAUACUGCUCAGCUCGAGUCCGGAAGAGGAGUGUGGAAUUCCUGGUGUAGCGGUGAAAUGCGCAGAUAUCAGGAGGAACACCAAUGGCGAAGGCAGCACUCUGGGACGGUACUGACGCUGAGGAGCGAAAAGCGUGGGGAGCGAACAGG